RNAcentral lists this ribosomal RNA (629 nucleotides) under Escherichia coli. RNAcentral's name for it is "bacterial SSU rRNA". It matches the Rfam family "Bacterial small subunit ribosomal RNA", at positions 404 to 1044 of the family's 1533-position model. The record is from RNAcentral. Lineage: Bacteria; Pseudomonadati; Pseudomonadota; Gammaproteobacteria; Enterobacterales; Enterobacteriaceae.
AGGGAUGACGGCCUUCGGGUUGUAAACCUCUUUUAGCAGGGAAGAAGCGAAAGUGACGGUACCUGCAGAAAAAGCGCCGGCUAACUACGUGCCAGCAGCCGCGGUAAUACGUAGGGCGCAAGCGUUAUCCGGAAUUAUUGGGCGUAAAGAGCUCGUAGGCGGUUUGUCGCGUCUGCUGUGAAAUCCGGAGGCUCAACCUCCGGCCUGCAGUGGGUACGGGCAGACUAGAGUGCGGUAGGGGAGAUUGGAAUUCCUGGUGUAGCGGUGGAAUGCGCAGAUAUCAGGAGGAACACCGAUGGCGAAGGCAGAUCUCUGGGCCGUAACUGACGCUGAGGAGCGAAAGGGUGGGGAGCAAACAGGCUUAGAUACCCUGGUAGUCCACCCCGUAAACGUUGGGAACUAGUUGUGGGGUCCAUUCCACGGAUUCCGUGACGCAGCUAACGCAUUAAGUUCCCCGCCUGGGGAGUACGGCCGCAAGGCUAAAACUCAAAGGAAUUGACGGGGACCCGCACAAGCGGCGGAGCAUGCGGAUUAAUUCGAUGCAACGCGAAGAACCUUACCAAGGCUUGACAUAUACGAGAACGGGCCAGAAAUGGUCAACUCUUUGGACACUCGUAAACAGGUGGUGC